AGAGAGAAAGAGGAGGAAGUGUGUGUGUGUGUCUCUACAGGCCAAGUCCUAUGAAGUUUGGCUCCAAACGAAGGACAGAGGUUCAUGACAACACAGAUCUGCUUGACACACUGGAUAAUGGCUUCCGGAGCUCCUGAGAUGGUGACUGCUCGUUCAGUGGAGUUGGGCAGCAUGUCCCCUGCGACCUGUACCUGAGCACCUGUUGACUGAAGUGGG
Long non-coding RNA from Oncorhynchus keta (chum salmon), 216 nucleotides. RefSeq lists it as uncharacterized. The transcript is spliced from 3 exons. NCBI's taxonomy places the organism in Eukaryota, Metazoa, Chordata, Actinopteri, Salmoniformes, Salmonidae. The record is from RefSeq and is a predicted model, not a curated record.